AGCAGAGUGGCGCAGCGGAAGCCUGCUGGGCCCAUAACCCAGAAGUCGAUGGAUCGAAACAAUCCUCUGCUA
RNAcentral lists this transfer RNA (72 nucleotides) under Ameiurus melas (black bullhead). It matches the Rfam family "tRNA". Rfam says of the family: Transfer RNA (tRNA) molecules are approximately 80 nucleotides in length. Their secondary structure includes four short double-helical elements and three loops (D, anti-codon, and T loops). The record is from Rfam by way of RNAcentral. Lineage: Eukaryota; Metazoa; Chordata; Actinopteri; Siluriformes; Ictaluridae.